Phrynosoma platyrhinos (Desert horned lizard) is the source of this 72-nucleotide non-coding RNA. NCBI's taxonomy places the organism in Eukaryota, Metazoa, Chordata, Lepidosauria, Squamata, Phrynosomatidae. The record is from the annotation of a GenBank genome assembly.
GCCAGAAUAGUGCAGUGGUCUGAACAUUGAACUACAACUCUGGAGACCAGGGUUCAAAUCUGUGCUCAGCCA